AGACCAACACUACUAGGACGCCCCACUGGACUCAGACGAGAUGAGGCUGGAGACACAGCCACUGGAUGAGCAGUCCUGGGCACAGGUAGCCCAGUAGGACUGAGAACCAGCCGGCGCCCACCUGUGCAGACCCAACUAACCAUCAGGCUGCCCGCAGACACAAGGAGGAUGGCUUCCCGCACGUCCACCUGCUUCAGCACUCCUCCAGAAGGAGCCGUCCUUGUCCUAACUAUGGAAAUGAAGGGAACAGAGACCUCCUGGCCCAGCAACAGAGUCUGGAAAGAGGACUGGUGACAAGGAUGGCACUUGGGCCCUUUGAGGGAGGCUGACUGAGAACCAGGGAAGAUGGUCCCAGGCGUUGGUGAGUGUCUUCUGCCUGGGAAAUGAGGCCCACAGGGCAGAGCUAAGUCUAGGGGGAGGAACGCUUCAACCCAGAGCAGCCUCGGGUGGACUGGAGGCUCUAACGCUCUAGAAGAGGGCUUCCCAACCCUGGCAUUACUGCCAUCUGGGCAGGCUGAGCCUUGGUUGUGGAGGCCGUCCUGCACAUUGGAGGGUGCUGAGCAGCAUCCCUGGCCUUUGUCCACUAGACACCAACAGAACCACUCCCCUUACCCCACUUGGAACAACUAAAGACACCUCCAGACAUUGUCAAUGUCCACUGGGGGACAAAACUGCGCCUAGAUGAAAGUGAAGGUUCUAGAGCCCAAGCCCCCUGGUUCGGUGCCAUCAAGCUCUCUCACCCUCUUCCUUUCAUCCUCACCCAAUCUUCUCACGUUCUUCUCCCGAGCCUCGCUGCCUCACCAUUCUAGGCCUCCCAGUCCUCUCCCAGAACAUGAGCCCGCUCGGUGAUGCCACACAGCAGAGCCACAAUGCCACUUCCAAGAACAGUUCCAACUGCUCAAGGAUGGAAGCACAGUCACGCACGCUGCCCAAGGCAACCUGAGGAUGCAUCACAUUCUCGGAUCCUCCCCGCCCCGACAUGUGAGUCAGGAUCCUGCGAGUGAGGUACAGGACACUGCAGGGAGAGAUCCAGCAAGCCCUGCCCCUCCUAUCCCUGCUCUGGAGCCAGGGGCAGUAGUGAGGCCCCUCCCCCAGACAAAUCCGGCCCCCUAUCACCUGCGAAUGUGUCCCCACCACCCCACUCCCACACCUAGUGCUACAGGUAGUGGAGUGAUCUAAGCAAUCUGGAGGCCAGACUUUAAUGCAAAUCAUACUACUCCAGUUAUUAAAUGUUUACAAAACUUUA
RNAcentral lists this long non-coding RNA (1246 nucleotides) under Homo sapiens (human). Its description in RNAcentral is "HSALNT0344065". The record is from RNAcentral. Lineage: Eukaryota; Metazoa; Chordata; Mammalia; Primates; Hominidae.